UACGGAAGGCAGCAGUGGGGAAUAUUGCACAAUGGGCGAAAGCCUGAUGCAGCUAUGCCGCGUGUAUGAAGAAGGCCUUUAGGGUUGUAAAGUACUUUCAUCGGGGAGGAAAAACAAAACUAAUAAUUUUAUUUCUUGACGUUACCCGAAAAAGAAGCACCGGCUAACUCCGUGCCAGCAGCCGCGGUAAUACGGAGGGUGCUAGCGUUAAUCAGAAUUACUGGGCGUAAAGAGCACGUAGGUGGUUUUUUUAAGUCAGAUGUGAAAUCCCUGGGCUUAACCUAGGAACUGCAUUUUGAAACUGAAAUACUAGAGUAUCGUAGAGGGAGGUAGAAUUCUAGGUGUAGCGGUGAAAUGCGUAGAUAUCUGGAGGAAUACCUGUGGCGAAAGCGGCCUCCUAAACGAAUACUGACACUGAGGGUGCGAAAGCGUGGGGAGCGAAACAGGGAUUAGAUACC
This 458-nucleotide ribosomal RNA is filed under the name uncultured bacterium. Its description in RNAcentral is "bacterial SSU rRNA". It matches the Rfam family "Bacterial small subunit ribosomal RNA", at positions 340 to 786 of the family's 1533-position model. The record is from RNAcentral.